Molecule: long non-coding RNA, 626 nt
Filed under: Pan troglodytes (chimpanzee)
Lineage: Eukaryota; Metazoa; Chordata; Mammalia; Primates; Hominidae
Description: long non-coding RNA NONPTRT018507
Source: RNAcentral
CCGUUGUGCGUCGCUUAAGUGAGGGCGGCGGAUGGGCGAAGGUCCGGUGACUGCGACUGUCGCUGCUCUCUGAGGCCACAGGAAAGGGGCCGUCGGCCGCCGCCAUGACAGCGAGCGAGGCGGAGGAACCAUGUAAGAAGUCUGACUGCCCUGCUGGAGAAACCAAAUGGAGAGGUCAAGAGACAACAUGGAGAGAGAACGCACAGCCCAGCUGAGCCCAGCUUUCCAGUUAUCCCCACCAAUGCGCCACACAUAUGAAGGAAGUCAUUUUGGUCCCUCCAAAACAACCUAGCCAGCCAGCUGGAUACCACUGAGUGACCUCAGUAGAUGCCACGUGGGACAGGAGAAUUCUCUAGUGAGCUUUGCCCACAUUCCUUACCCACACAGUCAUGAGUAUAAUUAAAUGAUUAUUGUUUUAAGCCCCAAGUUUUGGGGUGGUUUAUUACACAGCAGUAUAUAACUGGAACAUUGGGCACUGAAGUAGUGGAAACCAUACAUGCACGUUAUAUUUCCGUUAAACUUGGAAAGGGAAAGAUCUGAUGGAGUGGGAGGAUCACAUAAGAUCAAGGGAGAAUUUUUAUGAAGAUGACAGAGACUUGGGAGUGUGCAUAUGCUGAUGGGGAAGA